GGGAGUGUAGGAUCCUGGGCUGUGUCUGCUUGGCGCCCUGGGAUCCAGGGCCUGUGCUGCUGGAAUCGUGCUCCCGGGGCCGCGGCUCCU
RNAcentral lists this microRNA precursor (90 nucleotides) under Canis lupus familiaris (dog). RNAcentral describes it as "mir-8799 microRNA precursor family". It matches the Rfam family "mir-8799 microRNA precursor family". The record is from Rfam by way of RNAcentral. Lineage: Eukaryota; Metazoa; Chordata; Mammalia; Carnivora; Canidae. RNAcentral also lists the same sequence under 1 other name.